RNAcentral lists this ribosomal RNA (485 nucleotides) under uncultured bacterium. RNAcentral describes it as "bacterial SSU rRNA". It matches the Rfam family "Bacterial small subunit ribosomal RNA", at positions 8 to 518 of the family's 1533-position model. The record is from RNAcentral.
AGGGUUCGAUUCUGGCUCAGAACGAACGCUGGCGGCAGGCUUAACACAUGCAAGUUGAACGGGAUUUAGUGGUAGCUUGCUAUCAUUAAUGAGAGUAGCGCACUGGUGAGUAACACGUGGGAACAUACCUUUUGGUGGGGGACAACAGUUGGAAACGACUGCUAAUACCGCAUAAGCCCGGAAGGGGAAAGAUUAAUUGCCGAAAGAUUGGCCCGCGGAAGAUUAGGUAGUUGGUGGGGUAAAGGCCUACCAAGCCGACGAUCUAUAGCUGGUCUGAGAGGACGAACAGCCACAUUGGAACUGAGACACGGUCCAGACUCCUACGGGAGGCAGCAGUGAGGAAUAUUGGGCAAUGGAGGCAACUCUGAACCCCCAGCCAUGCCGCGUGAGUGAAGAAGGUUUUCGAAUUGUAAAGCUCUUUCGGGUGUGACGAUGAUGACGGUAACACCUAAAGAAGCCCCGGCAAACUUCGUGCCAGCAGCCGC